Molecule: long non-coding RNA, 20595 nt
Filed under: Marmota monax (woodchuck)
Lineage: Eukaryota; Metazoa; Chordata; Mammalia; Rodentia; Sciuridae
Rfam family: tRNA (bases 2170-2238)
Source: RNAcentral
CUUUCUGAACUCAAGCUCUAGGAACCAGGAGACAGCGGUGCCCGGCGCAGGCAGAGCGCCCUCGGAGGCGGACACCUGGCACCCACAUCCCGCCAUGGUGCGCUCCCCCAGCCGGCGGCUGUCGCCGGUGGUCUUGCUGCUGCUGAUGAUGUUGCUGCCCCUUGGAGCUGGUGAGUGUAGUCUGUGGGUAGGUGCAGCUGGAACCCGCCGGUGCUGCAGGGAGGGGCAGGUGGAGGUGAGCUUGUAGGCGGGACACAGUGGGUGCAGCUGCCUCCAGGUCCCGUGUCUGUGUCAGUUCUGGAGUCUGGGAAACUGGAGGAGGAAGACCAGAGGGCCCUGAAUACCAUGCCUAAUACUGUGGCUGAACUCAUAUAGAUUGAGUGCCAGCAUUGAGCUGGAUAAACAAGCAUCUCCUUGCUCCUUGUUCUCCCCCUUCUCUCUUUUGUGACUCAUCUACACAAUUAUAAAAUAACCUGCAGCCAGUCUACUAUAAGACAGCAUCUCUAGGAAGCAAGAAGAAUCUGAUCAUGGGCUGGACUGCCAUUUCCUCUAAGCGGCCUUCAACUUCUCUUCACGCCCUUUGAGGUUGUAAGCUGGCCAGAACUUGCUAACAUCAUCAUUUGGUUGUGUGUUGAGAAUUUGAAAACUACCCAACUCCACCAUACCAUAUACUUAAUUAUUAUUAUUACUGUUUUUUUUUCAAACCAGAGAUUGAACCUAGAGGAUUUACCCACUAAGUCACACCCCAAGCACCGCCCCCUUUUUAAUUUUUAAAAAAUUUGAGACAAGGUUUGGCAAGUUGCUUAGAGCCUUGCUAAGUUCCUGAGACUGGUUUCAAACUUGAAGUCCUCCUGUCUCAGCCUCCAGAGUCUCUGGGAUUAUAGGCUUGGUCCAUCAAGCCAGGUUAAAUGUUUACUUUUUCAAUUGGUGCAGAAGACGCCUUGUUGAGCCAGAUGAUCUUUUCCUACAAGCCACAGCCUGGCUUUAGCACCACGCCAUUCCCCUGAAGAAGAGCAGUCUAGGCUCCAGCCUGCCUAGAAAAAUGCCCCAUGGCCUUGGGGAAUGGGAUUAGGUACAUGGACUGUCAUUCUGGGGCUCCUACCAGAACCUGAGUGAAGAGAAUCCCAAGGCAGAGGCCACACACAUUUCCCAUCACCUUUCACAUUGUGGGACUAUAGAAAUACAAUCUUGGCUGUGAGACAGUUAAGGAAGGAAGGAGGGAAAAGACUGGUUUGUCAAGACUGGUUCAAUCAGCAAAUCUGGGGAGCAAGACAUCACCAAUUUGAAUUAACUGUCUAGGAAAUUUCACUAACUCUAAUGUAUGGCUUUGUGUCAGGAUCAGGGAUAAACACUAAACACCUUCCUCAUUAACUAAUUCAGGGAAGCAGUAUAGCUGGCAGAUCCAUAUUUUAUAGUAUUUAAUAGCAGUGAUUUCUGAUUAAGUGGCUUUGUUGAAAAUCCUUAACACAAUCAUCCAGGAGCUGCUAUGUAGGGUCAAGUGCUGCCCAGACCAAUUGCUGGUUUUAACAAUUAGGUAAAAAAUACCACUGCUUGGGCCCCAGUAGAGCCAAGCAUAAAGGAGACAACUAACACCCAGGAAAGUAGCAUCAUGUACUGAAAAUCAUUCUAAAAUAGGUUGGAGCUAGGACUUCUUGAUUCUAACCUCAAUCUGGUCUUAGCUUGCUAUAUCUCUUAAUGCAUCGUACUUUUCUUGUUUAUUCAUCCAUAAAAUGGGUGCCCAAGCUAUGGGCCUCUCUUCUUUUCUAUGGAGAAAAACAAAUGAGGAUCUUAUGCAUAGACUUAUCUUCUUCAUUUGCUACUACUCAUUCUCUGAUGAACCAAGAAAAACUCAGGAGGUCAAGCUGCUGACUAAGUGAGAAAUAGACAUAGCAGUGGUAGCAUAAAGGAGGAGGUAGUGAAGGUGUGAUAGAGAAUGUAGGGACUGUGACAAAUUGAAUAGCACAUGACUUGCUGAAAGGAGGCAGUCAUCACACAACUCCAUUUGUUAUAUUGUGGGCAUGUAGGCCCACAGUGUUUUAUAUUUGAAGAGAAAUUGGGAGUCCAUAGUUUUAUGUGAAAUCUUCUGGUUUUUAAAUGUUGACCACUAGUCACGACUUUAAGAAGACCAAAACCCUGUCUCAAAUUUAAAAAUAGCUGGGGGAGGGGGUUGGGGCUAUAGCUCAGUGGCAGAGCAUUUGCCUUGCAUGUGUGAGGGACUAGGUUCGAUCCUUAGCACCACAUAAAAAUAAACAAAAUAAGGCAUUCUGUCUAUCCACAACUACAAAAAAAUUUAAAAAAAUAUUUGGGGGGCUGAGUGCGGUGGUACAUGCCUGUAAUUUCAGCAGCUCAGGAGGCUAAGGCAGAGAGAUUGCAGGUUCAAAGCCAGUCUCAGCAAUUUCCCCUGGGGUCAAUCCCCAGUACCCCCCAAAAAAGAAUAAAGUUAGAGAGGUUUUUUUUUUGAAAAUGGUUGUGAUUCAAUAUUUAAGUUCAGAUAAAUAUUCACUUAUUCCAGUAACAACAAUGACUUGAACCUGCUAUUUCUUUCAGUGACCUUUUACUGAGUACAUACCUGGAGUAGCAUCUUUUUUCUUUUAAAUAUAUAUAUUUUAGUUGUAGUUGGACACAAUACCUCUAUUUUGUUUAUUUUUAUGUGGUGCUAAGGAUUGAACCCAGGGCCCCACACGUGCGAGGUGAGCGCUCUAAUGCUGAGCCACAACCCCAGCCCUAGAGUAGCAUCUUAAAGUUUUAGAAUUUCUCAACCUAUUUAAAUCCAUGUCCCCUUUUUGGUUAAGGUUUUAAAAUCUCAUACUUAAAUUUCAACUUCCAGCCCUUUUAAUUUUACUUUAUGGUACCGGGAUUGAACCUGGGGUACUUGAACACUGAGCCACAUUCCAGCCCUUUUCUUUUGAGACAGGGUCUCACUAAGUUUCUUAGGGCCUUACUAAGUUGCUGAGGCUGACUUUGGACUUGCAAUUCUUCUGCCUCAGCCUCCUAAGCCACUGGGAUUAGAGGCAUGAACCACAGUACAUGGCCCUUUUAUUUUUUUAUUUUGAGAUGGGCUCAACACUAAGUUGCCAAGAUUGACCUUGAGCUUGCAAGCCUUCCAAAUCUCUGGGAUCUCUGUUCUACCAUGGCUGGCUAAUAUUUUUUUUUUAAGAGAGAGAGAGAGAAAUUUUUAAUAUUUAUUUUACAGUUUUCGGUGGACACAACAUCUUUAUUUUUUAUUUUAUGUGGUGGUGCUGAGGCUCGAACCCAGCACCCCACGCAUGCCAGGCGAGCGUGUUACCGCUUGAGCCACAUCCCCAGCCCUGGCUAAUAUUUUUUUGAAAUUUGAAACUUUUUUUUAUCUUGCACACAUAAAAUUACCAAAUAUGCUUUUUAUAUUCUCCCUCCCUCCCUUCUUGCUUCUCUCUCUUUUUUUUUUUUUUCUUUUUCUUUCCCCUCCCUCCCACUUGAAGUGAUCCUCCUGUUCUCCUUCCUGUGUGGCUAGGACUAUAGGCACAUACCACUGCAUUAGGCUUAAAUAUGCUUUUUAAAACUAUGUAGUCCCUUUAGAAAUUCUGAUAUAUCCCUAAAAGAAAGCUAUCAUUUCUUUUUCAUCCCUUCCAUUAAAGGAUAGAAUCCAGUAUCUCUCUCACUUUUAUUUUCUGGGAAACAAACCCAGGGCUUCAUGCAUGCUAGGCAAGCACUCUACCACUGAGCCACAUCCCCAGCUCAGUUCCCCAUUUUACUGUUAAAGAAACUAAAGUCCAGAAAGUGAAUUGUCCCAGGCCAGGCUGAGACUAGAAUGAGGCAAGUGAAAGAAAUGUCAAGAAACUGAAAAACAAAAAACAAAAAAUAGAAACUGAUUAGUCAGGCGAUGGUGGUACAUAUCUGUAAUCCUGGUGGCUCAGGAGGCUGAGACAGGAGGAUCAUAGGUUUGAAGCCAGCCUCAAGAAUUUAGCAAGACUAUGCAACCUAGUGAGAACCUGUCUUAAAAUAAAAAGGGAUUAAGUCUUAUAAAGGUCUUAUAAAUCAGAGUAUAUAGCCAGGCAUGGUGGCCCAUGCCUGUAAUCCCAGCAACUCAGGAGGCUGAGGCAAGAGGAUCACAAGUUCAAGACCAUCCUAAGCAAUUUAAGGAGACCCUGUCUCAAAAUAAAAAAAGAACUGUGGAUGUAGCUCAGUGCUAAAGUGCAGUGCCCCUGGGUCCAAUCCCUAGUCAUCCCCCCCCCCCCAAAAAAAAAACUAGAAUUAUGCUUAUAUAAUGGCAUUCUAUGCAACAAUGAAAUUAUACUAUUUACUACUAUCCUUGCCUAUACAGGUGAAUUUUACAAACAAAAGAAUCCAAUGCCUAGCACAAUGGCACAUACCUAUAAUCCCAGCUACUUAGAAGGCUAAGGCAGAAGGAUCACAAGUUUGAGGCCAAACUGGCUAACUUAGACCCUGUCUUAAAGUAAAAUUAAAAAUAUUUGGGGAUAUAGCUCAGAGAUAGAACACUCCUGAGUUCAAUCCCAGUGAUGAAGAAAAGAAAGCAUAUUACUAAACAAAAUGUACAAAUGGAUAAUAAGAACAUAAAAAUAUGCUCAAUAUCCUUAGUUAUUAGGGAAAUGCAAAUUAAAAACACAGUGAGAUAACACUUCAUACCCACAAGGAUGGCCAUAAUUUUAAAAAGUGGAAAAUAAUGAGAGUUGUCAAGUAAGUAUAGAAGCUAGGCUCUUCAUAUAUUGCUAGUGGGAAUGUAAAAUGUUUAUGACUACUGGCAGAUCCAGUCUGGCAGAUCCCCAGAAAGUUAAACAGAAAAUUACUGUAUGACCCAGCAGCUCUACUCCUAGGUAGAUAUCCAAACAAAUUGAAAACAGGUGUUCAAACAAAUGCUUGUAUAUGAAUGAUACCAGUUACAUAUAACCAAAGAAGCAGUCACAAUAAACAAAGGAUGGAAACAAAUGCCCAUCAAUUAAUGAAUGGACAAAAAAAAUGUGGCAUACCCAUGCAAUGAAAUAGUCAUCCAUAAAAAUGAAUGAAGCAUUGACACAAACUAUGGAUGGACCUCAGAAACAAUAUGCUAAACUGGGCACAGUGGUGCGCGCCUGUUAUACCCUAGUGGCUUGGGAGACUGAGACAGGAAGAUCAUGAGUUCAAAGCCAGCCUCAGCAAUUUAGUUAGGCCCCAAACAACUCAGUGAGACCCUGUCUCUAAAUAAAAUACAAAAUAGGGCUAAGGAUGUGAAUCAGUUGUCCAGUGAAUGCCUCUAAAUUCAAUCCCUGGAACGCCCCCCCCCCCAAAAAAAAAAAAACACACUAAUAUGCUAGGUGAGAAAAGCCAGAUAUUAAAGAUCAAAUGUGUUAGCCAGGCACUGAUGUGCACACCUAUAACCCCAGCAUUUGGAAGGCUGAGGAGGAAGGAUCAUAAUUUUGAGACCAACUUUUAGCAAUUUAGUAAGACUGUCUCAAAAUUUAGUAAGACUCUGUCUCAAAAGGGCUGGGGAUACAGCUCAGUGGUAAAGCACCCUGGGUUCAAUACCCAGUACCAAAAAUAAAGAUCAAGCCAGACACAGUGGCUCACACCUGUAAUUGGAGGAUGAGGCAGGAGGAUCAUGAGUUCAAAGCCAGCCUCAGCAAAAGCAAGGUGCUAAAUAACUCAGUAAGACUCUCUCUAGAUAAAAUACAGAAAAGGACUGGGGUUGUGGCUCAGUGGUUGAGUGCCCCUAGGUUCAAUCCCUGAUACCACCCCCCCACACAAAAAAAUAAAAGAUAAAAGAUCCAGCAAAAUUGAGUAAUACUCUUUCAAUAAAAUAUAUAGGAUAGGGCUGGAGUUGUGGCUCAGUGGUAGAACACUUGCCUAGCAUGUGUGAGGCCCUGGGAUCAAUCCUCAGCACCAUAUAUAAAUAAAUAAAUUAAAUAAAAGAUCCAUUUACAGCUAAAAAAUAUUUUUAAAAAAAGAAAAAAGAAAUAUAUAGGAUAGGUAAAUCCAUAGAGACAGAAAGGAGACUACUGGUUCUCAGAGGCUGAUGGAGAGAAGAGUGAAAUAACGAGUGCUUGUUUAAUGGGUAUGUUGUUUCCUUUUGGGAUGAAUGAAAAUGUAUUGGAAUUAGAAGUGAUAGUUCAACAACAUUGUGAAUAUUCUAAAUGCCACUUAGUUGUGUACUUUAAGAAACUUAAUUUUGUGUGAAUUUUACCUCAAUAAAAAGCUUUCCAAUUAAAAAUUUUUAUUUAAAAAGAUAUUAAGGGGCUGGGGUUGUGGCUCAGAGGUAGAGUGCGUGCCUAGCAUGUGUGAGGCACUGGGUUCGAUCCUUAGCACCACAUAAAGUAAAAUAAAGACAUUGUGUCCACCUAUAACUAAAAAAAAAUAAAUAUAAAAAAUAAAGAUAUUAAGAUUGUGUGAAGGAAUGAGUUUGGAAGAUGAAAUCAGUGAGACCAGUAAGGAGGUCUGGCUAAAGAGACAGACAUGAAAAAAAGUAAAAAAGAAAUAUCACCAUACUUUUCCAAGACUCAAGAGUAUGGAGAGCUUUUAUGCAUGAAUCAGUAGAUGAAUGAUGGGCAGGCGAUAGCAAAACUGAACAGAACAGGCAGGGGCAAACCAAACCUAAAUAAAAAAGUAGACAGAUUCCACAUAUGUUGUGGAGUUAAUGGGACUUUUUUUUUUUAAUUGAAUUUAGGAUGUAAAGGAGGUUCUGUGGGACUUCUUUCUCUCCACAUCAUUCCUAAAGGCAAUUUGUGCUACCCUAAGAUUUUCUCAAGGUUUCAUCAGGAAUCUCCCCAAUCCUACCUCACAAUUGGCUUAAUACUUCUAGACAGCUACUCUGAUCAUAUGUGACCCUCAUCUGAUCUCUCCACAGGAGACUCCCUUCCCACAGAGAGCCGGUUCAAGAACAGUUGUAUCCAGGCCAGGAGGAAGUGCCAGGCUGAUCCCACUUGCAAGGCUGCCUACCACCACCUGGGUUCUUGCACCUCUAGUCUAAGCACCCCAUUGCCCUUAGAGGGGUCUUCUUUCCCUGCAGACUGCCUAGAGGCAGCAGAGAAACUCAGGAACAGCUCUCUGAUGGGCUGUACAUGCCACCGACGCAUGAAGAAUCAAGCUACCUGCCUGGACAUCUAUUGGACCAUUCAUCCUGCCCGCAGCAUUGGUGAGACCUCCAUCCUAAAGUGGACUAAGCUGAGGAGGAUGGCUCUUGGAAUUUCUUUUCUUCUUCUUCUUCUUCUUUUUUUUUUUUUAAAUAUUGAUGUGGGGUUGGGGUUGUGGCUCAGCAGUAGAGUGCUCACCCAGAACGUGCAAGGCCCUGGGUUCGAUCCUCAACAUCAUAAAUAAAUAAAGAUAAAUAAAUGGCUACAACUAAAAAAUAAAAAAAUUAUAUUUGAUGCAUAUACCUAAACCUGAGCAUUGCUUUUUUUUUUUUUUUUAAUGUGGUGCUAGGGAUUGAACCUAGGACCUUGUGCAUGCAAGGCAAACAUUCUACCAGCUGAGCUAUAUCCCCAGCCAUCUGUUUUGUUUACUACUGGGUAUUGAGCCCAGAGGCACUCUACUACUGAGCGAUAUCCCCAGCCCUUUUUACUUUGAAACAGUCUUACUAAAUUGCCCAGGCUGAGGCAGGACCUGCCUCAGCUUCCUGGGAUUACAAGUGUGCCCCACUUUGGGAGUUGUUUUUCAGUUCUGCAGGAUAUGGGCCACAUGGUAGAUUCUGAUGGGGAUGACAAUGAACCUCUGCAUUUGGCACCAGUAAGAGAUGGAGGGAAAAAUUGGCAGUGUCCCUUUGGGCCCUCAAAACACUGCCCUCACUUUUUCCUCUUUUUUUACCUGUGGUUUCCUCUUGACAGAGUUCUAAACCAGGCACAGGCUCAACCUGGGGAGUUCCUAGAGCAGAAAGAUACAGAGAGGAGUAGAGAAAAGCAGUUUUAACUCCAAAUAUCAUGUAAUCCACAAGUUCAGAGACUGAGUGGUAUCAUCUCAGGCCAGCCUUUAGCAGAAAUGAUAUGAUUAACAGAACUGGAGAUGGAUGAUAAAAGUCACAAAAAAAGCCAAAGAGAAGCGCUACCUUUGACCCCUUCUAUAGGCCUUUUUCCUUAUUAAUCAGCUUUUAUUGGACUAUCUUGCAAAACAAAGAUUUAGUUCUUGCUCAUGUUCUGAGCUGACUGUUUUCAUGUGUCUUUGUUAUUCUGGGAUCCAGGCUAAAGGCACAGCCUUUUGUGGGAUGUUCCCUUCUCAUGGUGAAGGAAAUGAGCAUUGGUAAACCAUACAAUGCUUUUAAAAGCCUCUGUUUAAGCCAGGCAUGGUGGCACACACCUAUGAUACCAGCUACUUAGGAGGCUAAGGCAUGAGGAUCACAAGUUUGAGCCUUGCAACUUAGUGAUCACCUGUCUCAAAUAUAAAAAGGGCUGGGAUUGUAGCCCAGUGGUAGAGCACUCUGUGUUCAAUCCCUAGUACCAAAACAACAACAUCAGAACCCUGCUCAAAUGUUACAAAUUCCAAAGAGACAAUAAUCUGACCAAGCCUCACAUCACUAGAUUAGGGAAGUAUACUCCUCCCAUAGGGAGAAAUAAAAAAACAGCAUGGCAAAACUGGACCUAGUGGCACAUACCUAUAAUCCCAGCAACUCAGGAGACCAAGGCAGGAAGAUUGCAAGUUUGAACCAGUCUUAGCAACUUAGUGAGACCCUGUCUCAAAAAGGCCUGGAGAUAUAUAGCUCAAUGGUAAAGCAUUCCUGGGGUUCAAUUCCCAGUAGCAAAAAAAUUAAAAAGUAAUAAAUAAAUCACAUGACAAUAAGUGAAGACAUUUAAUCUUAUAGGGAGGGCAAAGAAUAAUUGGAAACAAUAAUACAAUUUACCACAGUUUACAGCUUGAUAAAAAUAUUAAUUUCCCCUCCUUCCACAAGUAAUAUAUACCCACCUAAUUUUCCAAGGAAGAUGUCCUAAAAAUUCUAUCAGAACAUGACAUCAAGCUCUAAGUCUAGGAUCUUAGGAUCUCAUGAUAGUUUCUAUAUUGUUUUUUGUUUGUUUGGUUGUAGUUUGAGAUAGGGUCUCCCUAAGUUGCUGAGACUGGCCUCAAACUUAUGAUCCUCCUGCCUCAGCCUCUAGAUUUGUUGGGAUUACAGGCAUGUGCCACCAUGCCUAACCCUAGUUUAUAUUUUUUUUAAAUAUUUAUUUUUUAGUUGGAGGUGGACACAAUAUCUUUAUUUCAUUUUUAUGUGGUGCUGAGGAUUGAACCCAGUGCCUCACGCAUGCUAGGCGAGCACUCUACCACUGAGCCACAACUCCAGACCCCCUAGUUUAUCUUUAUGAACUAAAAAGGUCAUUUGCCUCCCAUACAUACUCAGUGUACAAUAAUAGAACAGGCUCAGGAUAACUACAACAAACACUUUCAGAAUGGGAAGGAAUGAGAGGCACACAGCAGACAUUGAUUCGAAGAAUUCUAAAAUUUUGCUAGGCAGAUUUUGCAAGGGUCCUCUUCUCUGGGGAUCAAACCCAGGGUCUCACACAUGCCAGGCAAGUAAUCAUCCACUGACCACAUUUCCAACCCAGGCUUAUUCUAUAAGAAGACCCCCCCCCACUCACCCUUUUUUUUUUUUUUUCCUCUGUGGGAGUAGCUGCCCUAUCCAUUGUUCUUCAAGGUUCUUGGCUCAACCCUCUGGGAGAUCCUGGCUUUUCCAUUAUUCUCUUUACCACAUUUGAAAAGGGCAUUGGAGACUACAACCUCUGGGACUGGAGAAGCAUUCUUAUCUAUUUCCUGUCUGAGGAAUGUUGGGGCAUUUUAAGCCUCAAAUAGUCACAGUCUCUUUUAAUCCAGGCUGUUAGCUGUUAGAAGUACAAGUCUCUCAAAAAGUAAUUGCUUUUUAUAUCUUUGAUUCCUUCAUCUCAUGUGCCAGUAGCCUUUCCUACAAGACAUGCACCUCUUUCUAAACCUAAUUAGAAGUUCCCUGUCCCUAUCAGACCUCUAUGGGAGAGUCACUACUUUAGUUUUCUUUCCCUGAGUACAUUUGUCCAACUGGCAGAUCUAUUUGGUACCAUCUUAAUCAAUUGAGAAAUCUUUAUAAACUCCAGGAUAGCCACAUACUUAAUUUGGUCUUUCCCCCAAGCCUGAUUGUUAUCAACUUUAUCACUCAAAGCAUUUUCAAUUUUAUCUUUUACCAUUUGAAUAUGAGAUAUAGUUGCUGCAUCUCUUAAUCCUUCAAGUCUUGGAAUUUCUGGAUUCUUUUGUCCAUAUCCUCCCUACUUGCAAACCAGCCAAUUCUUUUAUUUUUUAUUUUGUCAAGACACUUUUUCACUACAUCCAGGCUGGUCUUGAACUCCUGGACUCAAGGAAUCCUCCUGCCUCAGCCUCUCUAGUAGCUGGGUCUGCAGACAGGCACCACCAUGCCUAUCUGCUAAACUGGCCAAUUCUUUUCUGAGCUUCUGUUUUUCUCUUAAUACCUUGCCAAAUGCAGCCAGUAGCAAUCAAGACACACUAGUAACCUUCUGCUUUUCGGCUUCUUCCCCUUAAAACACAAGUUCGUUCAGCAUAAACUCAUCUUCCUUCCAAAUUAUUGGGGGAAAUAAUUUAUCAAAUGCUUUGUUACUGCAUAAUGAAGACUACCUUUUUUCCAGCCCCCAGAAAGCUUCUUCUCUAUCCACUGCCCAGUCCCAAAGAAUUGCUACAUAUUUGGAUUUUUGUUCCUAAAGCAAUCUACCUCUAGGUAAAAAUUGCAUUUUUUCUUCCCCUUACCCCAAUUGUUUUUGUUUUGCUUUGUUUUGUUUUUGUGGUACUGGGAAUCAAACUCAGGGCCUCAAGAGUACUAAGCAGCAUUCGACCACUGAACAACACUUCCCAACGCCCUAAUUGCAUUGCUUUUGUGUGUUGGGGGUACUGGGGAUUGAACCCCAGGGGCACUUUACCGCUGAGCUACACCCCAGCUCUUAUUUUUUAUUUUGAGUGGUUUCUCACUCAGUCUUUCUGAGUUAGUGAGGCUAAACUCAAAUUUGCAAUCCUCUUCCCUCAGUCUCUUUUUUUGUUGGGAUUACAGGUGUGUGUGUCACUAUACCCAGCCUCCAGUUGCUUUUUUGUUUUUGGUACUAGGGAUUGAACCCAGGGACACUUUACCACUAACCUACAUCUCCAAUCUUUUUUACUUUUUAUUUUUGACUGAGUUUCGCUAAAUUGCUGAGAUUGGCCCAGAACUUGCAAUCCUCCUGCCUUAGCCUCCCAAAUUGCUGGGAUUAUAGGUGUAUGCUGCCAUACCCUUCUCCCUGAUUGCAUUUCUUUUUUUUUAAUAUUUAUUAUUUUUUAUUUGUAGUUGGACACAUUAUCUUUAUUUCAUUCUUAUGUGGUGCUGAGGAUCAAACCCAGGUCCUCACACAUGCUUGGCGAGCGCUCUACCGCUGAGCCCCAGCCCCAGCCCCUCCUUGAUUGCAUUUCUAAUAAGAAUUUGCUAGGUUAAACUUUAGUUACAACCAGCCCACCCCAUCCCCAUCUCUUUUUUAACAAUAAACAUUUAUUUCUUGCUCAUUUUAUAUAUGUGCUGCAGACUUCCAAGCAUUGGAUUUUUCUCUGUUCUAUCUAUUGUCUUCAUUCAAAGUAAGAGAGGAAAAAGUAAUAACGAUAUAAUGGUUCUUUUUUUUUUUUGGUAUUGGGGACUGAACCACUGAGCCACAUCCCCCACCUUUUCAGUUUUUAUUUUGGACAGGGCUUCACUAAGUUGCUUAAGCCUUUAUGAAAUUGCUGAGACUGGCCUCGAAUUUGCAAUCCUGCCUCAAUUUCUUAAGCUGAUGGGAUUAUAGGCAUGUGCUACCAUACCUGGCAAUGUGAUGGUUAUUAAAGUUUCUGCUCAGCCUGGGCACAGUGGUGCAUGCCUACUUGGGAGGAAGAGGCAGGAGGAUUCCAAGAUCAAAGUAGCAACUUAGAUCAGCUUAGUGAGACCCUAUCUCAAAAUAAAUUAGAAAAAGGACUGGAGAUGUGGCUCAGUGGGUAAGGGUUCCUGGGUUUAACCCCAGUAGCAAAAAAAAAAAAAAAAGCUCUGCUUAGAUGUGAUUUACAUCACUUCAAUUUAUAGUCCACCAGCCAGAGCAAAUCACGGGACCAAGCCUGAUUGACAUUGAAGUACGCUCCACAAGGGCUGUGAAAAGUCACAUGGCAACAGAUAGGGAGGUAUAAUCCUCCCAUAGUGUGGGGGACAAAUAAUUGAACGAUAAAACAAUUUUACCACACCACUUGUUCUCUGUUUCCUACUCCUAAUUUCUUCUCUUUUUUGACUUCCCCAGAGACUUCUUCCAGGAUUCUCUUGUUUCUCUGUUUUCUUUCCUCUUUGGAGCUCUCAGGUCUUCUGAUAUAUCUAGCCCAUCCUCUCUUGUUUGCCUGAUAACAUCCAUAUACCUGCCCACCUGAAGAUGCAUUUACAAAGGCUUCUUGGAUGACAUUCCUGCAAGCUUAUCUUUCUCAUCUCUCUUUCAACAAGAUUUAUUAACCAAUAUUUAUUGAGCCCCUCCCAAGCAUAGGGGCAAUACACUGAUUUGAUAAGACUUAGUAAGUCCCCUUAAGGAGUCUGCAGUCCCUUGUGGGUAUCUGAGAAAGAUGCAUAUUCUUUGAGAUCAUUUUCUCUCUUUUUUUUUUUUUCUCAGUUUUUCUUGGUUAGUGCCUGGCCUCACUUCUGUUUCUCCAGAAUGCUAUACAUCUCCAUAGCCAAGCAUUCAGGCCUGUAGCAGAGUACCCCAUUGUCCCUUCUAUAAUAGCAAGAGAAAACAAGGCAGAGUUCCCUUGCCUGAUUCCAAACACACAAUAUGUCUGAGAGCUAGGAUCCAGAAACUCUGAAAUUGUUGUUGUUGGAGUAUCCAGUUGGGAUCCAGGUCCUUGGUAUCCCAAACAGAGAAUUGAGGAAGACAUACAGAAGCAUCUGGGCAUGCUGGCACAAGCCUAUAAUCCCAUUGGCUCUGGAGGCUGAGGCAGGAUGAUAGCAAGUUCAAAGCCAGCCUCAGCAAUUUAGCAAGGCCCUAAGCAAUUCAGUGAGACCCUGCCUCUAAAUAAAAUACAAAAACGUGCUGGGGAUGUGGCUCAGUGGUUGAGUGACUCUGGGUCUCUGGUACCAAAAAAAGAAAAAGAAAAAGAAAGACAGACACAGAAAUAGCAGGAAAAUAACAGAUUUAUUAUAGGUGAAGAUAGCACUCCGUAAGGUAGAGAAGAGUGGGCUGACCGAGAGAAAGGCUCAGGUCCCAAUGUCUGGAAAUCAGCUGCUGGGCUGUGAGUCAUUCUCUUUCCUAUACAGACCAAAUUGAAGACCUUACCCUGUUUGCUCCUAUUGGUUACCUUAUGAUACCUGAUUAGAAUAUUCUCUAAUCACCCCCCACAGCAUUGGUUACUUUAGAAACCUAAUUAGAAUACUGCCUACUUUACCACCAUUGGUCCUUUUAAAAUAUUGAACCUGGGCAGGAGUUGUCAUGGUGAUAAGUCCUCAGUGUCAGGAGUUUUCAUAGUAAUGGGACUUAUUGUAAACAGAAACAUGACUUAUCUCCCUGUCUUGUCCAGUGGCAUCUUUUUUUUUUUUUUAAUAUUUUUUUAGUUGUAGAUGGGCACAACACCUUUAUUUUGUUUAUUUAGUUUGUGUGGUGCUGGGGAUCAAACCCAGUGCUUCAUGCAUGCUAGACAAGCUCUCUACCACUGAGCCACAACCCCAGCCCCCAGUGGCAUCUUUCUUAUACCCUGUCUCCACCAUCUUGAUGUCCCUGAACUCCUACUUACCAGAAUCAGAUAGUUCAGAGUUCAUAUCUCGGCAAGUAACAAUUAAACCUCUCUCCUCCUCAAUUUCUUUUUGCCUACCCAAAGGCUUCUAUUCUUAUCAGUUUAUUUGUUGGGCCAAAUCCAUAUCUUUUUUUUUUUUUUUGGUACCGGGAAUUGAACUCAGGAGCACUCGACCACUGAGCCAUACCCCAGCCUUAUUUUGUAUUUUAUUUAGAGACAGGGACUCAUGGAAUUGCUUUAGUGCCUCACCAUUGCUGAGGCUGGCUUUGAACUCGCCAUUCUCCUGUCCCAGCCUCCCAAGCCGCUGAGAUUACAGGUGUGCCCCACCAUGUCCAGCACAACCCAAAUCUUUAUGGCUCUGCAUUUUUCUUACCUUUGAAUACCUUGCAGCUAGUUAUAGGUUAUGCCUUUUCCUUUGCUGCAUAGAGCUUGAGGUCUGACCCAGCAGCCUGAGCCCCUUCUGCUCCCACCCCUCCCAGGUCCUUAGCAUUCUGGUGCUCCCUAUCUUGUUUUUAGGUGAUUAUGAACUGGAUGUCUCCCCCUAUGAAGACCCAGUGACUAGAAAACCCUGGAAAAUGAAUCUCAGCAAGCUGGACAUACUCAAACCAGGUGUGGAAGGCAAGCCUAGGAUGGGAAACUGGGAAGUGGGAGGCUGAGCUGGGCCGAGGGAAGGGUGGCUGGGGGAAGCACAAACUUAGGGGCUUACAGAGUAAGUUUCUAGCCUGCCAGGUGACUGAAUAAACACUGUGUCAGCGUAGAAGUCUGAGUUGUGUUGCAUGGUCUGCUUUCACGGGAGUCAUCAAAAAAAAUAACAAUUAUUAGGCAGGCAUUCAGAGAAAACCCAUUAGUUCCCCUGGUCCCUACAAAGAGGAUGGUGGGAGUGGCAGUAGUUACAGAAAGAAAAGUACAGAAAUGGAAUAUUUAGACACAGCAAGGAAAGUAGCCUUUUUGUCCAUAAAGACUAGAAAAUUGUUUUCAACCAUUCUAAUGGGAUGGGCGAGGUGUUGGGCAGAGAAAAUAAUGAGGUUUUUGACUCCCCACAGGGGUGACUUAGGGUGGAGAGCCAUCAGCCUGGCAAGGACUACAAUGCAUGUUUUUUCAGGAGUGUAAGGUCGAAAGUUAAUUGAAAAAGAACACACAUAUAUGCACUAUUUUUUGAGGAGAAGAAAGCUUUGUUGUAUGGUCAAUUCUGUAAAAAUUAGAAUUUUGAAGCGAGCUUUGUUGUAUAGCUAGUUUUAUGUAUUAGAAUUUCAAGGGAAAACUAGAGAUUUAUACAUGGCAAACUCUUAGUUACAAGGAAUCAGUGAAUGACCUGUUUAAGUUAUUUAGUUGUUCUGGGGCUGAAAUAUUCUUUUUAUAGAAAAAUCAUCAGGCAGCUAGUGAUGGAGCUUAGCAGUAAGGUACAUGCUUAGCAUGCAUGAAGCCCUAGGUUCCCUGGAUUUGAUUCCUAGCAACCUACACUGAGUCCUGAAAAAAAGAAAGGAAGAAGGAGGAAAUAUCGCCAUACUUUUCCAAGACUUGGAAAAGAACUUUUAUGCAUGAAUCAUUAGAUGAAUGAAGGGUAGGUAAUAGUAAAACUGAAUAAAAAGGUACAAACCAAACCUAAAUAGAAUUUAGUUGCAUUUGUUUCCAGCAGUUCAAAAACUGCUAUGGAAUGUUGCAAGACCUCUAUAGGUUAUGAUUUUCACCGUCGGAUCAUACUGCACAGCAUUGAAGGAAGUAUUUUGGUUAUUUGAACUUUGUGGAUGCUUGGUUCUAGAUAAGUGGUUAUUAGAUAUAUAGAGAUGAUGAUGAUGAUGAUGAUGGAUGAUGUUUACCUAGUCAAGAUAAGGAACAGAGUAGAAAAGGCUUCACAGUACCAGAUAGAGUUUGUGGGGAGAGAGAAAACCUUGAAUAGCAGUAGCUUUAUUCAGGAUUUAUUCAAGUCCUCCCUUUCCUCCUACCCCCAUUUCUUCCUUGUUAAAUUGGGUUUGCUGGGGUUCCUUAGGGAUACUGAACUACAGGUGAUGCAGAAAGGAUGUGGUCUAGUGAUUUAGUGCCCUUCUUCCCUACAGACUCCGAUCUCUGCCUCAAGUUUGCUAUGCUGUGUACUCUUAAUGAGAAGUGUGACCGGCUACGCAAGGGUUACGGGGAGGCCUGCUCAGGACACCACUGCCAGCGCCAAGUCUGCCUUGGACAGCUGCGCUCCUUCUUUGAGAGGGCCUCUGAGCCUCAUGCGCAGGGCCUGCUGCUGUGCCCCUGCUUGCCCACUGACCGCGGCUGUGGGGAGCGUAGGCGCAACACUAUUGCUCCCAGCUGCGCACUGCCAACUGAGGCCCCCAACUGUCUGGAUUUGCAGAGCCUCUGUUUCACGGAUCCGCUGUGCAGGUAGGUGCAGGGUCUGGGCUGCAGGAUGGGCGUGGGUGUGACAUGUUCCACUCCUUCUGGCCACCUUCCUGCACCCGUUGGAUCUAACUGCCCUCAGGAAACAGUGGACCCACAAGGCGCUUCGCCUUGGAUAUUUUGUGAAACUCAUAUUAAAAGGAUUAUAGCUUUUGACCUGGUGCGAUGGUCACACCUGUAGUCCCAGCUCUCAGAGGCUGAGGAAGGAAGACUCCUUGCGUCUGAGUUCCAGACCAACCUGGGAAACAUAACAAAACCUCCUUUGUGUAAUAACUUCAGAAAACAUAAACUUGUAUAAAAAAUACCACUUACGGGCACAGUGACACAGGCCUAUAUAAAAAAUACCACUCAAAAUUCCCUCACCUAAAGAUAAUCUACCAUAAUUUGGUAAGCAUUUGCUUCCAGUUAUUUUUCUGGAAAAAUGAAAUGAAGACCCAGUGACUGGAAAAUGAAUCUCAGCAAGCUGGACAUGCUCAAACCAGAUGUGAAGGGCAAGCCAUCACUUUUAGUUCUCUACAAAAACUGGAAUAAUAAUACAGACCUCUAAUCAUGGUUAUAUUACUUAUGUAGAGUACUUAGCCUACUGGGGCAGAGUUAAGUCCUCAAUAAAUGGUAAUGCUAAUUUUGUCAUUUAUUGUCCUUUAAGAACUCCAUGUAUUUAUGUAGGGAGGUUUGCAUUUCAUUGCUGGGGUUUGAACCCAGAGCCUCACAAAUGCUAGGCACUGAAAAUCUGAAAUUACAAUCUGGUUUUCCUGUGUCUUCUCAGUACAAAACAACAAAUUGAACUUAUCAUCUGUUCAAAUAACAUUUUUUGACAAUAAAUGUCAUACCAACCAUGGUAUACAACUUAGAUCUAUUGCUUACUUUUUUGUGACAGGUGAUGCAGUAAGGAAAGUAGCUUUACCUCUUUGAUUACUACUUUCCUUAUCUGCAAAGUCAGGGCUCUCUAUAAUCAGAAUAUUAGCAUUUACUAAGUACUUCCUAUGAGCCAGAUAUUGAUUUAAGUAUUUAACAUGUAUUAACUCAUAUAAGCCUCAUAAGAACUCUGUAAGAUAGAUGCUCUUGUUUUAAUCAUCCUCAGUUUACAAAUGAACAAACCAUAGCAAAGAAUGGUUAAAUAACCACUAAUAGGUACACAGGGAACACAGCUAGUAGGUUAGGUCUGACUUAGAGUCUAUGCUUUUUUUUUUUUUUUUAAUUUUUAUUUUUUAGUUAUUGGCAGACACAACAUCUUUGUUUGUAUGUGGUGCUGAGGAUCGAACCUGGGCCGCACGCAUGCCAGUCGAGCGCGCUACCGCUUGAGCCACAUCCCCAGCCCGAGUCUAUGCUUUUAACUAUUCUGCUGUACUGCCUAUUACUACACUAGUAGCUAAUACUAUUAUAUAACAGGUACUAGGUUAGAUGGCUAAGAUAUUAUCUCUAUCUUCAAGGAGUUCAUAGUAGAGUGGAGGUGACAGAGAAGUAAACCAUUGACCCAAACAGAAAUGUAUUGAAAACUGCAGAAAAACAUACAGAAAGAAAAACACCCACAAUUACAUCACCCAAACAGAACUAGCCUUAUGUAUUGUGGGAUGAAUGUUAAUAAUAAUAUCUGGCUGGGUACUGUGGUGCACACCUGUAGUCCCAGCUACUUGGGAAAUUGAGACAGAAGGAUCAAAAGUUCCAGACCAACCUGUGCAACAUAUCAAGACCCUGUCUCAAUAUAAAAUUUAAAAAUUUUAGUAUACUUCAGUGCCUAAAAUGUGCGAGUCCCUGGGUUCUAUCCCCAGAACCACAAAUGAUAGUAAUAAUAAUAACAUCUAAUAUUUAUUUAUUUAUUUAGCAGUACUAGGGAUUGAACCCAGGGCUGCUCUGCCACUGAGCUAUAUCCUUAGCUCUUUUUAUUUUUUAUUUAGAGGCAGGGUAUUGCUAAAUUGCCAAGGUUGUCCUUGAAUUUGUAAUCCUCCUGCCUCAGCCUCCUGAGACACUGGGAUUAUGGGCACAUGCCACCACACCCAGCUCAUAUCUAACAUUUAUUAAACAAUAUGUGCCAGGCACUAUGCUGGAUGUGAUACAUGCAUUCUCUUAUUUCAUCAAUGAAAAUCUGCCAGGUUGUGCUUUUAUCCUAUUUUAUAGUCUAGGAAACUGGGGUGAAAGAAGCUGUCUAAGAUCUCAUAAUUAGAGAUUAUGAAGCCUAAAUUCAGAGUGAUGUGCUGAAGGCCCUGGGUUAAAAGUGACAGGGGCAGGCUCCACUGAGGAGAAGUUGGGGUGGACCAAGCACUGAAAGCAGAGGAGGAACUGGGGUGACAAUGAGCUUGCCAGGCUAAAGAGCAGCAAGGAUAAAGGCUGCAGGUCAGAUCUUCAUUGGGGACUCUUGAAAUUUCCCUUCUUGAGCCAGGCAUGGUAGCUUAUGUCUCUAAUCCCAGCUACUUUGGAAGCUGAGGCUGGAGGAUCACAAGUCUUCAAAAUUGUGAUUUUUAGACCCUGUCUCAAAAUUAAGAUAAAUAAAUAAAAAGGACUAGGGGUAUAGCCCAGUGGUAGAGUACCCCCUUCAGAACUGCCAAAAAAAAAAAUUUUUUUUCCUUUCUUCCAGAUCACGCCUGGUAGAUUUCCAGACCCACUGCCAUCCUAUGGACAUCCUGGGGACUUGUGCAACAGAACAGUCCAGAUGUCUGCGAGCAUACUUGGGGCUGAUUGGUGAGGCUGGGGCAUAUGUAGAGAACCCACAGGAUGGGCUCACCCUAAAGGAGAGAAUACUCUGAAGACCCAGAUGGUGUGGUCCUGAGAUGGGUGGGAGAGGGUUGGAGCUAAAGGAGGGUUAGCCUGGGCCCUGACAACUGCUUCCCUUUUUCAUCCCACAGGAACUGCCAUGACCCCCAACUUCAUCAGCAACAUCAACACUAGUGUUGCCCUAAGCUGCACCUGCCGAGGCAGUGGCAACCUGCAGGAGGAGUGUGAAGGGCUGGAGAGGUCCUUCUCCCACAACCCCUGCCUCAGUGAGUGUACUCUUGCUCCCAGCCCCUGGGUUGGAUUAGCUAAAGCCUAGGUGAUAGGAGGGGGUCAACUCUGGCCCAGAUUGGUUUCAUCCAUCUCCUCAGAGCAGCCCAAUUCUAUUUUAACUUCCAUAUCCCCAGCCCCAGCCUUUCUUCCUUCUGCCCCUCUCUGAGUAACCCCCAACACUGCCUGUUCAACCUGUCUGGGCUCCUGAGACAUCUCCAGCUUGAGGAGCAAGCAAGCAGAAGGAGAUAUUCCUACCCAUGUGUUCCCCUAGAUCCCAGGGUCCCAUGGCAUUCCCUUUCCUGCCUUGGGAGUCUAGGAAUCUGCUUCCACCAUGUCUUUCCAAUCUUCCUUCUUUCCUCUGCUCAGUGGAGGCCAUUACAGCUAAGAUGCGUUAUCAUAGCCAGCUUUUCUCCCAGGACUGGGAAGACGCCACCUUUUCUGUGAUGGAGCAUGAGGUAGGGCCUCUUCUGCUGUACCCCUUAAACGUUUACUGACCAGCUGGGGAAAACUCAAACUAGGCAAACAAAGGGAUGGGUGCACUUAUUCUAUAGACCUCUAAUGGACACCUCAGGGGCAGGGGGCAGUCUUAACUGAGGCUGAGGUAGUGAAGAGAGGUAAAGAUAGCUCCCUAAAAGAACUCUAUUCCAUUUCUUUCACAGAAAAACUCUGCUCUGAGGCCACAGCCCUGGAUGCCCUUUCUUUUUUCCUGUACAUUUACCUUGAUUCUACUUUGGAGCCUCUGGUAGCUGAAUUUUACCCAGAGGCCUUCUUCCUCACUACCACACCCAGCCUGAUUGCAACCUAUGAAGGGUGAAAAAAGAACAGCAUCCAGAGGAGGUGCAGUGCACAACAUGGCAGCCCCAACCCUACCUGGAACUUGCAGUUGGCUCCAGAUGAGGCCAUAGUAGAUGCUACUGGCUAUGACCUCCAGAUCCUAACUAGCUAACCUCAUUCCUCCACCACUUUUAUCCUCAUUUCUGACUCAGGCUGCCCUCCUUAGGAUUUAAUGGCUAUCAUUUAGCCAUGUCUUCUGGUGGUGACCAGCUCCACUAGGCUCUCUCCUUCCUUUCUCCCAUCCACACAUAAUCAUCCAGAGUCUAACAAAUCAGUCAUUCCUUAUUGCAUUCUUCAGGUAGGCAGGGCUGAAAGUUCUGAGGCAGCCUAGAAAGACAUUUUUCUUGUGAAGAAGGUUGGAGCAAUACUCCUGACCCCUUGUUCCUUCCUUUGAAUGGAGGAUGGAAACCUUCUGCCUGCCCUGCUCUGCCCUGGGAUCCUGGAGAACAUUUGGAAAUCAGGAGCUGAAGCCUUUGGUCCUUGCUUUAUUCCUACUGCUGUUCUAAAGCCCCCUGACCUCUUGGAUCAUGAUUAAACAUUUUGACCCAAGACUUAUGCUCUUUUCCCAUUUUAUCAAAUUUUGAAUUUUUCCAUAAUUUGGGAUGUUAUAGAUACAAGGAUACAGGCCAGAUGGUGAAGAGACACAACUGCUAUAUGAUUUCAGGCAAGGCUCUCAGCCCCUGUGUUCUUUUUAAAUAUUUUUUUAAUUUAUUUUUUAAGUUUUGG